This 269-nucleotide long non-coding RNA is filed under the name Lathyrus oleraceus (garden pea). Its description in RNAcentral is "Pisum sativum (pea) long non-coding RNA (PSAT_LNC019836)". The record is from RNAcentral. Lineage: Eukaryota; Viridiplantae; Streptophyta; Magnoliopsida; Fabales; Fabaceae.
UGUUGAAUUGAUAGAAAAUGUUUUGAAGGAGGAAAAUAUUUCAUCUCCAAUGGAGAAAGUUUUGGUACAAUCUAUUGAGGAAACAUGGAAGGAUUAUGAUGAUGUUGAGGUAAAUGAGUUGGUUCUACAAGUGCAAGCAGCACAACUAGACUGUGCUUAUAAUUUUUUUGAAGAAUUAGGAGGAAGUAGUGAGGAGAAACUAACGUAACCGAAACUAAAAGAACUAUUGAAGCAUCUAAAAUAUUUUUUCCUAAGUCCAUGAAACAGGC